RNAcentral lists this ribosomal RNA (253 nucleotides) under uncultured bacterium. Its description in RNAcentral is "partial 16S ribosomal RNA". It matches the Rfam family "Bacterial small subunit ribosomal RNA", at positions 524 to 776 of the family's 1533-position model. The record is from RNAcentral.
UACGAAGGGUGCAAGCGUUACUCGGAAUUACUGGGCGUAAAGCGUGCGUAGGUGGUUUGUUAAGUCUGAUGUGAAAGCCCUGGGCUCAACCUGGGAACUGCAUUGGAAACUGGCUUACUAGAGUGCGGUAGAGGGUGGCGGAAUUCCCGGUGUAGCAGUGAAAUGCGUAGAUAUCGGGAGGAACAUCCGUGGCGAAGGCGGCCACCUGGACCAGCACUGACACUGAGGCACGAAAGCGUGGGGAGCAAACAGG